Molecule: ribosomal RNA, 515 nt
Filed under: uncultured fungus
Lineage: Eukaryota; Fungi
Description: eukaryotic LSU rRNA
Rfam family: Eukaryotic large subunit ribosomal RNA (bases 324-515)
Source: RNAcentral
UGAAGAACGCAGCGAAAUGCGAUAAGUAAUGGGAAUGGCAGAAUUCAGUGAAUCAUCGAAUCUUUGAACGCACCUUGCGCUCCUUGGUAUUCCGAGGAGCAUGCCUGUUUGAGUGUCAUUAAAUUCUCAACCCCCCGACGGAUUUGUUUCUGACGUGGGGCUUGGAUGUGAGGGUGUGCUGGACUCCAUUAGGAGGUCAGCUCCCUUUGAAUGCAUUAGCGGAUUUUACCAUCGUGGAUAGGCUUCGGACUGAUAAUUAUCUAUGCCGUCGCCGUGAAGCGGUAAUCUGCUCAUAACCGUCUUUGGACAAUUUUUUGACCAUUUGACCUCAAAUCAGGUAGGACUACCCGCUGAACUUAAGCAUAUCAAUAAGCGGAGGAAAAGAAACUAACAAGGAUUCCCCUAGUAACUGCGAGUGAAGCGGGAAAAGCUCAAAUUUAAAAUCUGGCUGUUUUGCAGUCCGAGUUGUAAUCUAGAGAAGUGUUUUCCGCGCUGGACCGUGUACAAGUCUCCUG